Molecule: ribosomal RNA, 477 nt
Filed under: uncultured bacterium
Lineage: Bacteria
Description: partial 16S ribosomal RNA
Rfam family: Bacterial small subunit ribosomal RNA
Source: RNAcentral
GAUUAACGCUGGCGGCGUGCAUAACACAUGCAAGUCGAACGAUGAAACUUAACUGAUUUCUUCGGAAUGAUUUUAAGUGGAUUAGUGGCGGACGGGUGAGUAACGCGUGAGUAACCUGCCUUGGAGAAGGGGAUAGCCUUUGGAAACGAAGAAUAAUACCCUAUGAUAUGAUAAUAUCUCAUGAUAUUAUCAUCAAAGAUUUAUCGCUCUAAGAUGGACUUGCGUCUGAUUAGUUAGUUGGUGAGGUAACAGCUCACCAAGGCAGCGAUCAGUAGCCGGCUUGAGAGAGUGUACGGCCACAUUGGGACUGAGACACGGCCCAGACUCCUACGGGAGGCAGCAGUGGGGAAUUUUGCACAAUGGGGGAAACACUGAUGCAGCGACGCCGCGUGAUUUAGAAGGCCUGCGGGUUGUAAAAAUCUUUUGUAUGGGAAGAAAAUGACAGUACCAUACGAAUAAGGACCGGCUAAUUACGUG